RNAcentral lists this ribosomal RNA (460 nucleotides) under uncultured bacterium. Its description in RNAcentral is "partial 16S ribosomal RNA". It matches the Rfam family "Bacterial small subunit ribosomal RNA", at positions 338 to 795 of the family's 1533-position model. The record is from RNAcentral.
CCUACGGGUGGCAGCAGUGAGGAAUAUUGGUCAAUGGCCGGAAGGCUGACCCAGCCAUGCCGCGUGAAGGUCAGUGCCCUAUGGUCGGUAAACUUCUUUUGUACGGGAGCAAUAAUGGUCACGUGUGGCCAGACGAGAGUACCGUACGAAUAAGCAUCGGCUAACUCCGUGACCGCAGCCGCGGUAAUACUGGUGCUGCAAGCGUUAUCCGUAUUUAUUGGGUUUAAAGGGUGCGUAGGCUGUGAGGUAAGUCAGCGGUGAAAUGCCCCCGCUCAACGGGGUGAAGUGCCAUUGAUACUGCCUUGCUGGAAUGCGGAUGCCGUGGGAGGAAUGGGUGGUGUAGCGGUGAAAUGCAUAGAUAUCACACAGAACACCGAUUGCGAAGGCAUCUCACGAAUCCGCGAUUGACGCUGAUGCACGAAAGCGUGGGUAUCAAACAGGAUUAGAUACCCGGGUAGUC